UACGAAGGGGGCUAGCGUUGUUCGGAUUAACUGGGCGUAAAGCGCGCGUAGGCGGGUUUUUAAGUCAGGGGUGAAAUCCCAAGGCUCAACCUUGGAACUGCCUUUGAUACUGGAAAUCUUGAGUCCGGGAGAGGUGAGUGGAACUGCGAGUGUAGAGGUGAAAUUCGUAGAUAUUCGCAAGAACACCAGUGGCGAAGGCGGCUCACUGGCCCGGUACUGGACGCUGAGGUGGCGAAAG
Molecule: ribosomal RNA, 238 nt
Filed under: uncultured bacterium
Lineage: Bacteria
Description: partial 16S ribosomal RNA
Rfam family: Bacterial small subunit ribosomal RNA
Source: RNAcentral